GCUCGUAGACGUACUUGCGGUAGCGGCCCUCCGCGCCCUCGUCGGCCGCCUUGCGCUUCAGCGACACGCCGCCCUCGGCGCCGGGAGCGGCCGCCUGGAAGCUGUAGGAGUGACCCUGGGCCUGCCUGUGGCCCAGCCCACAAGCUCCUGCCAUUCAGCCUCCUGCACCUGGAGUGGUCUUUCAGGUUCAUAGGCCACACUCCAAUGCUGUGCAUCAGCUGAGCUGGAAGUAAGGAAAGGCCCUGGGGACUUAGGACCCCUGAAGACGCCGGGGCCCUCUUCCACGCAGGAGGGUGGAACACCAUUGGACUCCACCCAGAGAGUGCGGCCUUCAAAGUCACAGGUGACUGAUAGCAAUGGCAAGAAUUACUGGAUGGAAGGGUAAGUAAAGAAUCCCUUAAACUCCUCCCCCUUGGUUUUAGGAAGUCUUCCAGGAUGGAUGAGAGACUGGGCCUUCACAAAUGGCCAAACCAGUGCACCAGUCUCAGUCCCUAUGGGCCGUUGCCCAGGACACUGGUGCAUUAGGCCUGACACAGGCUGCGAUAGUGAGUGUGAUUUAUAAUAAGAAACGUAUAUUUGGUCUGUGUCCACUGUUCUGGCUCACAGUUCCAAAACCCCUUGCGAUGUCCUAAGUGUAAGAGCGAUGGUAGCACCUUUCCUUAUGGAAUGGUCUUGUCCUCAGUCGC
Leopardus geoffroyi (Geoffroy's cat) is the source of this 686-nucleotide long non-coding RNA. RefSeq lists it as uncharacterized. Lineage: Eukaryota; Metazoa; Chordata; Mammalia; Carnivora; Felidae. The record is from RefSeq and is a predicted model, not a curated record. The transcript is spliced from 3 exons.